GGCUAAUGUUUGUGUGCAUAGCGUCCACUAAUGCCUGCUGGAAUACACUAUGACACCAAGAGUUGCAGCACUGCUCCAUGAAAAUAAGCAGCCUACCUCCACAACUUAGGUAUUUCUCAUCAGAGGUCUAAUAUGGCUUUGGAGUUUAUAAUGUCCCUCUGGCAUUAACCAGGUCUUGUGAUCUCCCAGAAUAACCAUUUCCUCACCCAAGUGCUAGAUAAGAAACCGCAUUCCAGCUUCUUUGCUGGCCCACGAGGCAAAGACGACUUCGUUUGCAUCUCAAUAUCUUACCUGGUCACAGGAAUUGAGGAAUGAUGCAACGGAUUUCUUGCCCUGCAGGAAAGAUCGGGUGGGGGUCCUAGCACCACCUCUACUUCGGGGUUAGGAUUUCUCAAUAGCAGUAUUACUUUCCUGUGAGGUUUUCUGAUGAAGGUAUUUUUUUUUAUGCGUGGAAAAGAUGAGUUCUUCUGGUUUCUUUUUUUUUUUUUCUUUUACCUUAUUUUUUUUAAUAGAGCUUUGAUGCUGAGUAAUAUUUGAAGUCAGCUUUGAAGCUUUGACCGUAGUGUAACUCACAUACUUAAAAUUUUAAACUUCAAUUUGAUUGAUUCCUCAUUCAUUACUCAGUGUUUCCUCUUGAUUUCUGGCAGGUAGUAAUUUCUGUGUUUUGGGAGAUUUGUGAUUUUGAAAGCUAACCAAGGGAAAUAGUGGGAGGAUGUGGGGAAAUAUUGUCUUGAAGUGCUGAUGUAGAAGCCCACAAAUACAGAACAAUGUCCACAUUGUAUUGAUGUUUCUCUAUAAUUUAAAGGACAUUGGUGAUCUUUUCCUUCUUAUACUAAGGAGGAUAUUUUUUACUUAGAGAUAAUUUUUACUCCAAAGUGGUUACCAUUUCCUGACUCUCCUAAUUUAAAAUUUUAUUGUAACAAGUUGGAAAUCUCAAAUCUUGUCUGUAUUGUAAAGUUCCUCUGACCAAGACUAUUUUUUUACUGCCCGUACAUACUCUAGAGAUCAGAGUGAAGAUGUUUUAGCAGAUUUCAAAAGUUUCGGGAGGAUUUCAUAUACUGUUUCAUAUAUGAAAUCACAUUUGGUUUAAACAAUGAUCCAACAUUUCUUUUUUGAAAUAGAAGCAGUAGUAAAGUUAGAGAAUUAUAAAUCUUUAAGUGCUCAGGUUAGAUGUUCGUGCUUUUGCAAGCCAUUGUAAACAGUUGCAGAGCAUGAAAGACAAAUCUAUCUGUCUCCUGUUGUUCUUGGAGCAGUAGUGUCUAAAGGG
Empidonax traillii (willow flycatcher) is the source of this 1267-nucleotide long non-coding RNA. RefSeq lists it as uncharacterized. The transcript is spliced from 3 exons. NCBI's taxonomy places the organism in Eukaryota, Metazoa, Chordata, Aves, Passeriformes, Tyrannidae. The record is from RefSeq and is a predicted model, not a curated record.